AGGGGAGUGGCUCAAUUGGCAGAGCGGCGGUCUCCAAAACCGUAGGUUGCAGGUUCAAGUCCUGUCUCCCCUG
RNAcentral lists this transfer RNA (73 nucleotides) under bacterium. RNAcentral describes it as "tRNA-Trp". It matches the Rfam family "tRNA". From Rfam's summary of the family: Transfer RNA (tRNA) molecules are approximately 80 nucleotides in length. The record is from RNAcentral. RNAcentral also lists the same sequence under 1 other name.